RNAcentral lists this long non-coding RNA (514 nucleotides) under Cicer arietinum (chickpea). Its description in RNAcentral is "long non-coding RNA (CARI_LNC001992)". Lineage: Eukaryota; Viridiplantae; Streptophyta; Magnoliopsida; Fabales; Fabaceae. The record is from RNAcentral.
GGCGCCGGAAGUUUCCGUCGAUGACACGCUUUUCCGGCGAUGAAACUGAACCUUCCUUGUAGCAAUUCUUGGAGAGUUUACACGAAGUUUCACUCCUGGUGAAUUAACAGAGUUAGAAGAGAGUAGUUUCUUUACAGAACAAUUUUUCUUCUUGUUCUUCUUUUGUUGUUGAUGUUGUUGUUGUUGUUCCUUCAAAAUUUUAAUCUUUAGAGACAUUUCUUUGAGGGGUUUGUGUUCUUUAUUGUUGGGUAGUUUUGUAAUGAUUGGAGGAAGUUGAAGUUUUGAAAAAGAAUCAUCAUACCCUUUAAGUUUAUCAUCUUUUCUAGCUAGAGAAUUUUUGUCAACAUCAAUAUCUUUGUUGUUGGAUUUGUUGCAGGGACAAGAAGAAAUGGAAAAUGAAACCAUUUCAUCGAAUGAUGAUUCAGUUGGAAUAAGAACACGGUCUGUUCUGAAUUCUGUUUCAGGGGAUUCUGACUCAGUUAAGCUAUCAAGUGAAGAAGAAGAAGAAGAAGAG